UACGUAGGGGGCAAGCGUUGUCCGGAGUCAUUGGGCGUAAAGCGCGUGUAGGCGGCUCGGUAAGUCCGCUCUGAAAGUCCGGGGCUCAACCCCGGGAGGCGGGUGGAUACUGUCGAGCUCGAGUCCGGAAGAGGCGAGUGGAAUUCCUGGUGUAGCGGUGAAAUGCGCAGAUAUCAGGAGGAACACCGAUGGCGAAGGCAGCUCGCUGGGACGUGACUGACGCUGAGACGCGAAAGCGUGGGGAGCAAACAGG
RNAcentral lists this ribosomal RNA (253 nucleotides) under uncultured bacterium. Its description in RNAcentral is "partial 16S ribosomal RNA". It matches the Rfam family "Bacterial small subunit ribosomal RNA", at positions 524 to 776 of the family's 1533-position model. The record is from RNAcentral.